UACAAGAGCUCCCAAAAUUGAACAUCACCGAUGUUCAUCGGAUUUGCAGAGUGACGACUACCCCCGCCAGCAAAUUAGAUAAAGGAUUUAAGUUAUAUGCUGCAUCAUAUAUACACAACUACGAAGAUUAAGCUUCUGGAUUCAUCGCCGGUGAUACUGACACAUAGCCAGGGCUCCUGUGUGGCAGGCGCUGUUAUGUGCAAUCACACAGUGGCACUGCUCUUCCAAACAGCACACUACUCACAACUCAGAGUGCCGGUUGUCCCCCCUGUGCAUAGCUGCACGGAAUCUGAACAGCAAUGGCACAAGCCACGGACAGUGGGUGUGAGGCCAGGACCCAUCAACUCCAUGAUCUUCACUAAGCCGGUACCAAAUAGGAUGGCCCAGACUGGAGUACGGAGUGGCUUCUACAGAGGCAUGGUGGGUCCGUUACCAGAUCCCUGCUUGUUCAGAAUAACGGAGGCAUAUGCAAAAUUUAAUAUUGAGGACAGGCCACUUGUGACCACAAUGAACAUGAGACCUGACAAGCCCCUUGUGGAAAGUGCCUUUGGGCUGGUGCAGGAGGGCAGUGUUCUGUCAUAUCAGCAGCCGGUUUUGACAACCCGGUACAUCACACUACACCGCGAUGCACCACCAACACCGCACUUGCCUCUGGAGGGGUAUGACAUCUUGCCAUCAGAUUGUGUGUUUGUGUGCUCAGAAGAAGAGCUUCUGCAUCUGAAAAGCUUGUCUGUAACUCUGGAAAUGGCUCACAAAAUAGAGGAAGCUACACGUGAGCAAAGCUCUUCGUCUGAG
Molecule: long non-coding RNA, 795 nt
Organism: Astatotilapia calliptera (eastern happy)
Lineage: Eukaryota; Metazoa; Chordata; Actinopteri; Cichliformes; Cichlidae
Source: Ensembl